UUGAUGAUAUCGAAUCAAACGCUCCAGAUUAAUUGUUCUUUUAUUCUUUUUAUUUUAUUUUUCUCUGCGAUCUACGGAGCCAGAGAAGAGAGAGAGGGAGAGAGAGAGAGAGAGAGAGAGAGAUGGAGUUCGUAGAGAAAGGAGAAGAACCGGCGGCGCUCAUCACCACCACCGCCAUCGUUCGUUACAACCACCAGCAUCGCCAUCUCUCCCGUCCCCCAUUGCUUGUAACCACCACCAUCGCUUCUCAGAUCCGUCUUCACCAGAGUCGCCACCACCACCGUCACGCUCAUCAUAACCACAACUGAUCAGUUCUCUGUCUCUCAUUCCCUCUGUGUUUAUUUUAUUUUGUUCUUGUUACAGGAAGCUUGUUCUAAGAAAUUGCUCAAUGAUAGGCUGAAGUGAAGUUUAUGCUUUAUAUGAUUUGAUUUGAAGUUUAAAUUCGUUUUUUUUUUAAUUAUGUGUGUUGCAGAAGUCCAAGAGGGAUGAGUAUGCCAAAACUGUCUCCAAACGUUUGCAAGAUAUUGUUUAAGCUUGUCUGAUUUGUUUGUUUAGAGUGUUUGCUCAAAUUACUCAACUUUCUUAUGGUUGUUGCUGGACUUGGCAUGAUCGUUUAUGGUAUCUACUUGUUUGUCAAGUACAAGAGAGCACCCGAUGAUAACUCUCUUAAAUUCAACGGCGACGGCCAGAGUUACAUCUCUUUCGGGAGGCCCAUGCUUAGGGCAGUCUCUCUCUCUUCCAAUGUCUUUGACAAUCUCCCCAAAGUUUGGUUUAUCUACUUGUUCAUUGGGUGGCUCUGUUUGUUAUCUCUGGUGGAAGCUUGAUGAAGGUGCUCAGACUUUGAGGAAGGUGGAAGCUUGAUGGAGGUGCUCGAUGCCAUUCAAAGGAGAUAUCUUGCUUGUGUUUGAAGUGUCGAUAGUGGAUAAUGUUGUAUGCACUUGUGUGUGAUGAUUUGUAUGAAAGUGAUAAUGUGGUGUUAUGGGAUUUAAAUAAUUAUAUUGCUUUUUUGAAUUUUUAUUUAAAUUAUUUUUAUUUCA
Raphanus sativus (radish) is the source of this 1037-nucleotide long non-coding RNA. RefSeq lists it as uncharacterized. The transcript is spliced from 2 exons. The record is from RefSeq and is a predicted model, not a curated record. Lineage: Eukaryota; Viridiplantae; Streptophyta; Magnoliopsida; Brassicales; Brassicaceae.